Molecule: long non-coding RNA, 4822 nt
Organism: Cydia strobilella
Lineage: Eukaryota; Metazoa; Arthropoda; Insecta; Lepidoptera; Tortricidae
Exons: 2
Source: RefSeq, a predicted model, not a curated record
UAAAGUCGUAAUCGCUUCCUGACUUAGGAUACUUUUUAUUCCUUUUUUUCCUUUCGACAAUGUUUGAAAAAAAUCUGUAUUUAAACACUUUCCACAUAUCAGUAGCAUCGCACUUCAAAAUGAACGCGGUCGUUUUAACCGUUCUCUUCGCCAUUUUCUUGGGGGUCCAUUGUGUCCCCCCUGAAACUGAGGCAGAUGGAGAUGUGGGGUGCCUCCUAAAAGCGAUAAAAGACUUCACACACUGUAUUAAAGGUGUAGAGGCUGUAGAGGGCGAGCAGGUUUCAGAUUUGAACGGGAAUGUGCUGCAAUGUUUGGUGAAGCUUUUCACUGAUUUGUUAGGGUGUUUUAAAAGAUUGUAAGAUUGUUAUGAUGCGAUGCAGCUUUUACUCCCAAAAAUGAAGGCAAUAUUUUUGUUCCAAAAAUAAUCUUAACUAAGUUAAAUGUAUAAUAUCAUAAUAAUGUAUAUAUAACAUUGUAUAUUACCUAGUCGGUUACUAAGUUCCGUUAAUAGGUUUUCAAUUUGAUUAAAUAUAAAAUGAAGCUUAAAAUAAAAAAGUUUAGGCACAGUUUGAUAGCUUAUUUUGCAAUUAUCAAAACGUGAUAUAAUAAUAUAAAAUUCAGAUGAAGAAUUUAUGGGGAUCCUUGGAAAGCUCCAGAUUGCCUGAAGACGUAAACACGCGGUCAAUUUAUGAAAAAUAUACUUUACAAAAGUGUGUCCAAUGCAAUCUUGAAACUUUACCAGAAAGCUCAAUUGCUUGUUUUAAUGAGGCCUCUAUAUUACACCAAAUUUUAUGCCUAGCAGUUUUUUUUAGUACCUAAGAAUACUAGAAUAAAGGGGAAUACCCUUGAAACAUUGCGUAUUUUUCAGUUUCGCACGAAAACGUAUACUUAGGUUUAGACAAUUGUGCAGGAGGCAGGCUUGGAAAACUCUGUAAACUAUGUAGGUAUUUAAUCAAUGAAACCCACUUAAACUAUAUAUUAAAUUAAAGAUAAAUCAAGCUAUCUAAUUGUUCAAAGCUGAUACAUCCUUAAUAUGAUUAGAAAUACAUGGCAUUUAAAAACGAGAUGAACAGGGAGCGUACUUUUGAUGCGUUUUUUUACGCCAUUUUUCCGAGUGCUAUAAGGAAUUCUGCAAAACCAGAACAACAAUGUUUAUUAGGUUGUAUUGUAAGCUGUAUACACGAAUAAUUAAAAAUCGCCACCUAUUUCCUUUUACUCUGUGAAAACUCUGGUAACAGAACUUUUUAAUCAAGUUAACUUAAUUAGUAUGAAAUAAAACUAUGAAAACGGAUUAUAUUGCGUAUAUUGAAUUUAUAUUACAUCCCGACGUUUUAUCGCGUAUAUAUAUAUCUUUACUUGAAAAUAAUUGUAGUGUAUAACUAGCCUUUUGAACCGAUUUUGCAUGUACAACCAGCCUUAAAGUUUGUAGUCUAUGAUUGUUCAUUAUUUUAAUAUUAGGGUAUUUUUGCACUUUGUAAUUUUUCCUCAGUCACCCGUUGACCACGAACGCUGUAAAGGGUUCGAAACGUCGGGAUGUAUUAUAAAUUCAAUAUACGCGAUAUAAUCCGUUUUCAUAGUUUUAUUUCAUGAGUAACUAUCGCGGUAACCGAAGACAAUAUUUUAAUUAGUAUGAUUAUCUACAAAAUAAAAUACUUCUAUUUUUGCAUGUAGUUUGAAUUUAUAUAAUCAGUUAACAAAUUACGUUAUUAUAAGAUAACUUUGAUAACAAAAAUACUUUAUGACGACUGGUCUGGCCUAUAGUGGGUAGUGACCCUGCCUAUGAAGCCGAUGGCCCUGGGUUCGAAUCCCGGUAAGGGCAUUGUGUGAUGAACACAAAUAUUUAUUCUGAGUCAUGGGUGUUUUUUUAUGUAUAUAAGAAUGUAUUUAUCUAUAUAAGCAUGUAUAUCGUCGCGUGACACCCAUAGUACAAGCUUUGCUUAGUUUGGGGCUAGGUUGAUCUAUGUAAGAUGUCCCCUAAUAUAAAAAUAAUAAUAAUAGUCAAAUUAAUAUUAAGAUUUAUAAAGUUCUGCAAAUAACCCACCAUCUUAAAAAUGAUAUCUCCUGCCUUCCUUCGCUUUCCGAAACCCAUUUUCACAUAAAGUCACUAAUUCGAUAAAAAACCUUUCCCCUGCUUUUAGCGUCUGAUUAAAUACGAGCGACCAUCAGCGGCCAUUAUGAAGGGCGGGCGGGAAACCGGCAGCCAUACACGCAGUCACUCUAUGAGGCCAAUUCAAACUUAGGUACAUUGUGACAUCAAAAUGAUUGAAGUUGCAUGCACGCGCAUUUCGCUCCUAGUUGUCUGUACAUGGACCUAAUAGUGAGAACGAGAUGCACGGGCGACUCAGUUCAAGUCAAAGUAAAGUUAUUUUUAUUCAAUUUGUUGAUAUUAAAAACAAUCCAGGUUGCAAAUAGUGAAAGGAAAUAGUUGUAGCAAUUGUAUGCCUCAAGGAAGAUAAUCAAAAAACACAGCAGUGUUUUUAUUAUCACGAAACGAUAAUUACGAAAUUACCUAGUAUCUAGUUACGAAGCGCUUUUUUAUAUCUAAAAAUUAUAAUAUUAAAAAAGUGAUUUUUUUGUAAAAUGAGAUUUGUAGGAGCACUGGGUCGAGCAGGCAAAUGAUAGGCAAUUUUCUAUGGUUUGAAUUUUUGGAAUAUUUAAUUGUAUCCACGAGUUGGAAUAACUAUGUGCUUAAGAGUCACACGAAACUGCCGCCAUAAACCCUCUAAUACAAUCUCAAAUCUCAUUUUAAAAGAACACAUGUAACUUGGCAUGAACAUUUAUGUAAUAUAUAUCUAUGUCUGGUACUAGUUUUUGUUGCUGAAAAAUUGUUAUACAAUAAAAUAAAACAAGUAAGUGGAAAUUUUGUGUGUAAAACUUCUAUUAGCUUCAUUUCUUGAUGAAUGUUCAUGUUAAAUUUAAUCUUAUAUCGGAAUGUCGUUUUAUAGCUUCAAUUGUAUGGCAGCGGCUAGGUUCGUGUGACUCUUAAAAAGGAAAGCUGAUACACUUUUGUAGAGCUGCCGGUAUUGAGCAGCCAAGUCUUAAGAGCCUAUUAACUCGAGUGAUUGGAGCUAAAGCGCCGGCCGCGACUUCUCACUCUGUCUUUACGGGAUCCCAGAUUUACCGUAAAUUACGGAGGUGAACGUUAUAAAAGUACUUGGGAAGCGAUCGAAGAUCAAGGUGUUAUAGGAGUGGAUCAGAUUUUUUGGUGUUGUUAAAAAUACAUAAAUAAAGGGACAAUCUUACACAAAUCGAUGUAGCCCCACAGCCACCCACAGUAUAUAAGCUCAAUAAGGCUUGUGUUGUGGGUAAUACACAACAAUAUUUAUUAUAUUAUUAAUAUUAUUAUGUAUAUAAUAGAUAGCUGAUAUAGAUACAUGCAUAAAAACAUCCAUAACUCAGGAACAAAUUUUUGUGAUGGAAAAACAAAUAAAUGCCCUUACCAGGAUUUGAACCCCCAACCACCACCACCUGUAGGCAGGAUCACUACCGACUGGGCUUCCUAGCCCAAUUGUUGACAGUUGUUGUUAUUUUGUCCCGUUGUCCAGGCGACAAAAAUAUAACUAUGGUUGAUGUAUACAUCAAAUUAUGUAAAAAUAUUUUCCAGAGGAAAAUGUGAACUACAUUUAUAAGAAAAACGGCCAUCCCUUUUCCUCUUAAUUGUUGGUCUGGUGGAAAUUUCACAUAUAAAAUUAUAUAAAUAUCCACAUAAUUUACUAAAACCAUCUUCCAUCAACCAACAGACAUGGUAAACUAAUUAAUCUUGCACAGUACACAGAACAGUAAAUCAACGACCAUCACAUAAAGAAAGGAGAAUUAAUAACCCAUAUAUCUCUUUGUUAAUAUGCAAUUUUUUUCAUAGAUUCAGAUUUAAAAAAUAUAUAGGAAUCGCACUUAAACUAUCGUGAGACAUAUUUCAAAAUAUUUAUCAGUACGGUUACGGUACGAGGCGGGCGGCGCGGGCAGUGCACGACGUACAACCGCCGCGGACACUCGUGCCUGAGGAUGGAUUCCCAAAGAAUCCGAAACAUGUCGCCAAAAGCGACUAAAAAUAAUAGUGAGUAAAAACCGUACUGAUAAAUAUUUUGAUAUAUAGGAAUUUUGCCAUAAUUUUUUACACGAUGUUUUUUGGAAAAUGAGUUCAUUAUUUAUUUUAUUAUGUCUUUCUCAAGUUUCUCAUCACGGAACAAUGGUGUUCCGGACCUUUGGGAGGCGUGCGCGGAGCCAAAGCGAACACGUAGAGGCCCUUUUGACAAAAGUGUCAAUGAAAUCUACGACUAACGGGUACACCGAGCGGAUGCUGCCUUUGCCCGUGUCAUGUGACACACGCAGAGGCAGCACCCGCCAGGGUGUAAGGACUAUUGAGAGUUGAUGGAAUCUACAAUGAACUAGGUUAUUGGGUGAAAGCGAUGGACCAAGUACGGAGCUAUGGGAUAAAAAACCGGACGCCUGCCUAAUAAAACGGCAUGCAAUUUUAUUUCCGGCAGACGGUGGCUCGCCCUCACAAGAUGGGCCCCCACAAAAAGCGACAUCUAGGAUGGCUCAAGGGCAACACCGGUGUGAGCGGCUCAGGGGUGUCGAGAGGUGUACGCCGCUUUCUACCCAGUGGCUGUUAACAGCUACUGUGCCAACUCACGUCUUAUGCAUAUUUCACUUCCACCCCUGGACCUUCUAACGAUUCCACUCUGGCCGGCCGGUUAAGGCAAGCCAGAGGCAGAGAAUCCUGUCCCGCCCACCCUCCUUGCGGGUAACAGAACUCCCCAGGAGCACUCGGGUACGUGGGGUCGCUACUCCCCAACAGCUCGCCACAAGCUGCUCUGCGUUA